RNAcentral lists this ribosomal RNA (428 nucleotides) under Fusarium flocciferum. RNAcentral's name for it is "partial large subunit ribosomal RNA". It matches the Rfam family "Eukaryotic large subunit ribosomal RNA", at positions 116 to 555 of the family's 3401-position model. Lineage: Eukaryota; Fungi; Ascomycota; Sordariomycetes; Hypocreales; Nectriaceae. The record is from RNAcentral. RNAcentral also lists the same sequence under 1 other name.
UGAAAUCUGGCCCUCGGGUCCGAGUUGUAAUUUGUAGAGGAUGCUUUUGGUGAGGUACCUUCCGAGUUCCCUGGAACGGGACGCCAUAGAGGGUGAGAGCCCCGUCUGGUCGGAUACCAAUCCUCUGUAAAGCUCCUUCGACGAGUCGAGUAGUUUGGGAAUGCUGCUCUAAAUGGGAGGUAUAUGUCUUCUAAAGCUAAAUAUUGGCCAGAGACCGAUAGCGCACAAGUAGAGUGAUCGAAAGAUGAAAAGCACUUUGAAAAGAGGGUUAAACAGUACGUGAAAUUGUUGAAAGGGAAGCGCUUGUGACCAGACUUGGGCCCGGUUAAUCAUCCAGCGUUCUCGCUGGUGCACUUGGCCGGCCCAGGCCAGCAUCAGUUCGGUGUGGGGGAUAAAGGCGGCGGGAAUGUGGCUCCUCCGGGAGUGUU